This 74-nucleotide transfer RNA is filed under the name Dinoroseobacter shibae DFL 12 = DSM 16493. RNAcentral's name for it is "Dinoroseobacter shibae DFL 12 tRNA". It matches the Rfam family "tRNA". Rfam says of the family: Transfer RNA (tRNA) molecules are approximately 80 nucleotides in length. Their secondary structure includes four short double-helical elements and three loops (D, anti-codon, and T loops). Further hydrogen bonds mediate the characteristic L-shaped molecular structure. tRNAs have two regions of fundamental functional importance: the anti-codon, which is responsible for specific mRNA codon recognition, and the 3' end, to which the tRNAs corresponding amino acid is attached (by aminoacyl-tRNA synthetases). tRNAs cope with the degeneracy of the genetic code in two manners: having more than one tRNA (with a specific anti-codon) for a particular amino acid; and 'wobble' base-pairing, i.e. permitting non-standard base-pairing at the 3rd anti-codon position. Lineage: Bacteria; Pseudomonadati; Pseudomonadota; Alphaproteobacteria; Rhodobacterales; Roseobacteraceae. The record is from Rfam by way of RNAcentral.
GGUCCCUUAGCUCAGCUGGAUAGAGCAAUCGCCUUCUAAGCGAUCGGUCGAGGGUUCGAAUCCUUCAGGGACCG